UGGACAAAUUAUUGUAUUCAACUGUAUUCACAAAUACACGGCGUAAAACAGGGGGUUACACUGUUUAUAAACGGAAAGUGAAUCAGUUAACAUAAUAGACUCAU
Molecule: microRNA precursor, 104 nt
Filed under: Nicotiana sylvestris (wood tobacco)
Lineage: Eukaryota; Viridiplantae; Streptophyta; Magnoliopsida; Solanales; Solanaceae
Also listed under: 1 other name
Description: MIR6152 microRNA precursor family
Rfam family: MIR6152 microRNA precursor family
Source: Rfam by way of RNAcentral